GACGAACGCCGGCGGCGUGCCUAAUACAUGCAAGUCGAGCGAACAGAUAAGGAGCUUGCUCCUUUGACGUUAGCGGCGGACGGGUGAGUAACACGUGGGUAACCUACCUAUAAGACUGGGAUAACUUCGGGAAACCGGAGCUAAUACCGGAUAACAUUUGGAACCGCAUGGUUCUAAAGUGAAAGAUGGUUUUGCUAUCACUUAUAGAUGGACCCGCGCCGUAUUAGCUAGUUGGUAAGGUAACGGCUUACGAAGGCGACGAUACGUAGCCGACCGGAGAGGGUGAUCGGCCAAACUGGAACGGGGACACGGUCCAGACUCCGGCGGGAGGCAGCAGUAGGGAAUCUUCCGCAAUGGGCGAAAGCCUGACGGAGCAACGCCGCGUGAGUGAUGAAGGGUUUCGGCCCGUAAAACUCUGUUAUUAGGGAAGAACAAACGUGUAAGUAACUGUGCACGUCUUGACGGUACCUAAUCAGAAAGCCACGGCUAACUACGUGCCAGCCGCCGCCGUAA
This 513-nucleotide ribosomal RNA is filed under the name uncultured bacterium. RNAcentral describes it as "partial 16S ribosomal RNA". It matches the Rfam family "Bacterial small subunit ribosomal RNA", at positions 28 to 523 of the family's 1533-position model. The record is from RNAcentral.